AACUUUCAACAACGGAUCUCUUGGCUCUCGCAUCGAUGAAGAACGCAGCGAAAUGCGAUAAGUAAUGUGAAUUGCAGAAUUCAGUGAAUCAUCGAAUCUUUGAACGCACCUUGCACUCCUUGGUAUUCCGAGGAGUAUGCCUGUUUGAGUGU
RNAcentral lists this ribosomal RNA (152 nucleotides) under Gloeophyllum trabeum. RNAcentral's name for it is "5.8S ribosomal RNA". It matches the Rfam family "5.8S ribosomal RNA". From Rfam's summary of the family: 5.8S ribosomal RNA (5.8S rRNA) is a component of the large subunit of the eukaryotic ribosome. The record is from RNAcentral. Lineage: Eukaryota; Fungi; Basidiomycota; Agaricomycetes; Gloeophyllales; Gloeophyllaceae.